UGCCAAAACCCGGGAUCGAACCAGGGACCUUUAGAUCUAACGCUCUCCAAACUGAGCUAUUUCGGC
Non-coding RNA from Cordylochernes scorpioides, 66 nucleotides. The record is from the annotation of a GenBank genome assembly. NCBI's taxonomy places the organism in Eukaryota, Metazoa, Arthropoda, Arachnida, Pseudoscorpiones, Chernetidae.